GAUGAACGCUGGCGGCGUGCUUAACACAUGCAAGUCGAACGGUGAAGCAGAGCUUGCUCUGUGGAUCAGUGGCGAACGGGUGAGUAACACGUGAGCAACCUGCCCCUGACUCUGGGAUAAGCGCUGGAAACGGCGUCUAAUACUGGAUAUGAGCUGCGACCGCAUGGUCAGCAGUUGGAAAGAUUUUUCGGUCUGGGAUGGGCUCACGGCCUAUCAGCUUGUUGGUGAGGUAAUGGCUCACCAAGGCGUCGACGGGUAGCCGGCCUGAGAGGGUGACCGGCCACACUGGGACUGAGACACGGCCCAGACUCCUACGGGAGGCAGCAGUGGGGAAUAUUGCACAAUGGGCGAAAGCCUGAUGCAGCAACGCCGCGUGAGGGAUGACGGCCUUCGGGUUGUAAACCUCUUUUAGCAGGGAAGAAGCGAAAGUGACGGUACCUGCAGAAAAAACGCCGGCUAACUACGU
This 466-nucleotide ribosomal RNA is filed under the name uncultured bacterium. RNAcentral's name for it is "partial 16S ribosomal RNA". It matches the Rfam family "Bacterial small subunit ribosomal RNA", at positions 28 to 506 of the family's 1533-position model. The record is from RNAcentral.